CAGCCGCCGCGGUAAUACAGAGGGUGCGAGCGUUAAUCGGAUUUACUGGGCGUAAAGCGUGCGUAGGCGGCUUCUUAAGUCGGAUGUGAAAUCCCUGAGCUUAACUUAGGAAUUGCAUUCGAUACUGGGAAGCUAGAGUAUGGGAGAGGAUGGUAGAAUUCCAGGUGUAGCGGUGAAAUGCGUAGAGAUCUGGAGGAAUACCGAUGGCGAAGGCAGCCAUCUGGCCUAAUACUGACGCUGAGGCGCGAAAGCGUGGGGAGCAAACAGGAUUAGAUACCCCUGUAGUCCCUGUCUCUUAUAC
Molecule: ribosomal RNA, 301 nt
Filed under: uncultured bacterium
Lineage: Bacteria
Description: partial 16S ribosomal RNA
Rfam family: Bacterial small subunit ribosomal RNA
Source: RNAcentral